GUAGGUGGCAAGCGUUGUCCGGAAUUAUUGGGCGUAAAGCGCGCGCAGGCGGUUCUUUAAGUCUGAUGUGAAAGCCCACGGGCUCAACCGUGGAGGGUCAUUGGAAACUGGAGAACUUGAGUACAGAAGAGGAAAGCGGAAUUCCACGUGUAGCGGUGAAAUGCGUAGAGAUGUGGAGGAACACCAGUGGCGAAGGCGGCUUUCUGGUCUGUAACUGACGCUGAGGCGCGAAAGCGUGGGGAGCAAACAGGAUUAGAUACCCUGGUUGUCCACGCCGUAAACGAUGAGUGCUAAGUGUUAGGGGGUUUCCGCCCCUUAGUGCUGCAGCUAACGCAUUAAGCACUCCGCCUGGGGAGUACGGCCGCAAGGCUG
RNAcentral lists this ribosomal RNA (372 nucleotides) under uncultured organism. Its description in RNAcentral is "partial 16S ribosomal RNA". It matches the Rfam family "Bacterial small subunit ribosomal RNA", at positions 527 to 896 of the family's 1533-position model. The record is from RNAcentral.